Molecule: ribosomal RNA, 348 nt
Filed under: uncultured bacterium
Lineage: Bacteria
Description: bacterial SSU rRNA
Rfam family: Bacterial small subunit ribosomal RNA
Source: RNAcentral
ACGAACGCUGGCGGCGUGCCUAACACAUGCAAGUCGAACGGUUCAGGAGGCAAGAAACGAGAAGCGUGAGGCAAGAGAACAAGAGGGAUUGGUUUUUGGCCAAUUUCAGCUAAGGAGAUUUGCUUCAUGCGUCUGGUUUCUUGUCUCCUGGAUAGUGGCGGACGGGUGAGUAACGCGUGGGUAACCUUCCUAUCAGAAAGGGAUAACACCGGGAAGCUGGUGUUAAUACCAGAUACGCUUUAGAGGAGGCAUCUUCUUUAAAGGAAAGGACAACCGCUGAUAGAUGGGCCCGCGUCCCAUUAGCUAGUUGGUGGGGUAGAGGCCUACCAAGGCGACGAUGGGUAGCCG